RNAcentral lists this ribosomal RNA (253 nucleotides) under uncultured bacterium. RNAcentral describes it as "partial 16S ribosomal RNA". It matches the Rfam family "Bacterial small subunit ribosomal RNA", at positions 524 to 776 of the family's 1533-position model. The record is from RNAcentral.
UACGUAGGGGGCGAGCGUUAUCCGGAUUUAUUGGGUGUAAAGGGCGUGUAGGCGGGAGCGCAAGUCAGAUGUGAAAACUCAGGGCUCAACCCUGAGCCUGCAUUUGAAACUGUGUUUCUUGAGUGCUGGAGAGGCAAUCGGAAUUCCGUGUGUAGCGGUGAAAUGCGUAGAUAUACGGAGGAACACCAGUGGCGAAGGCGGAUUGCUGGACAGUAACUGACGCUGAGGCGCGAAAGCGUGGGGAGCAAACAGG